UACGGAGGGGCUAGCGUUGUUCGGAAUUACUGGGCGUAAAGCGCACGUAGGCGGCUUUGUAAGUUAGAGGUGAAAGCCUGGAGCUCAACUUCAGAAUAGCCUUUAAGACUGCAUCGCUUGAAUCCAGGAGAGGUGAGUGGAAUUCCGAGUGUAGAGGUGAAAAUUCGUAGAUAUUCGGAAGAACACCAGUGGCGAAGGCGGCUCACUGGACUGGUAUUGACGCUGAGGUGACGAAAGCGUGGGGAGCAACAGGG
RNAcentral lists this ribosomal RNA (254 nucleotides) under uncultured bacterium. RNAcentral's name for it is "partial 16S ribosomal RNA". It matches the Rfam family "Bacterial small subunit ribosomal RNA", at positions 524 to 776 of the family's 1533-position model. The record is from RNAcentral.